Molecule: long non-coding RNA, 1051 nt
Organism: Cygnus olor (mute swan)
Lineage: Eukaryota; Metazoa; Chordata; Aves; Anseriformes; Anatidae
Exons: 3
Source: RefSeq, a predicted model, not a curated record
GACCUGUCAUUUUAAAAUGUCUCCUUGGCACAACAGUAAGAGAGAAAAAGCAAAGUUUUGGUCUUAAGAUUUUGUGCACAUAAACAGAAUUACUAUCUUAAAUGAAAUUAGACUGAUUUUAAACUCAAAACAAAACAAACAAACAAAAAAAAACCAAACCAACAACAAAAAAAUUGUAGCUCUCGGGCUGGAGCGGUAGGGAGCUUGCACACUUUCACAUUGUAAUGCUUAGUUUCCAAGCACUCCUUUCUUUAGGGAAGUCGGCUGUGCUGCAUCACAUAUCCUGACUCCUGUGUGUUAUACAUGGAAUGAGCCAGGACAGACUGUGUACCAGCAGCUCUAUCAAAGUAAUCCAGAAAUAUGUUUCGCCCCACAGAAUAUGUGAGGAAAUUUCAAGUACCUUACACAUAAGAGAAAAAAAAAUGCUUAAAUUGUACUCAUUUGAGAAAAUUUCUAUAAAGCAAGUCAUACUGGUUUGGCUCAGGGACUUGGAGGCUUGGGGAGCUAUAACCUAUAUUACCAUGGGGAGUGCCAAGAAAACUCAUGUGGCUUCUAGAAAUAUGCAGUUCCUGUUUUCAUCCAGCUAGCUCCUAGUCUCAGUCUCCUGGGAAAAAACUCUCACCACCAGUUUACAGCAGAGCUGAGUAGUAGUUCUCAAACUCUGUUGUUAGAGUUAUUGCAAUGAAUAAAUAACCAAAAAUUCAGUGGAUCAUGGGCUUGCUCAAAUAACUGCUGUGUAGGGUCACUCCUUGACUUUGCAGGACAGCAGUUGUUUUUUUAUCCAUAAAGCUGUUUCUGUGGAGAUUUUCUAGAAUAUAAGCCUUUAUCAACUCUCUGUAUUUUUCUCCACAGAUCUGUUUUGAGCACUUCUCUCUUCCACAUAAUCUCUAUUGAUUAUCCUAAAGCAAGACUUGAAGAAGUAUGGAUAGACUGUUGGGUUUGAAGACCUCUCUCAGUGAACAAAGCCAUUGGGUGAAUUUCCAUAUGUGCCUGGAAAACAAGAAAUUCCAGACAAAGGACAAAUCACUUUGGUAUCUACUUUCUACUCAAG